This 74-nucleotide transfer RNA is filed under the name Saprospiraceae bacterium. Its description in RNAcentral is "tRNA-Ala". It matches the Rfam family "tRNA". From Rfam's summary of the family: Transfer RNA (tRNA) molecules are approximately 80 nucleotides in length. Their secondary structure includes four short double-helical elements and three loops (D, anti-codon, and T loops). Lineage: Bacteria; Pseudomonadati; Bacteroidota; Saprospiria; Saprospirales; Saprospiraceae. The record is from RNAcentral.
GGGGGAUUAGCUCAGUUGGCUAGAGCACCUGGUUUGCAACCAGGAGGUCAUCGGUUCGAGCCCGAUAUCCUCCA